Candidatus Rokubacteria bacterium GWA2_70_23 is the source of this 181-nucleotide non-coding RNA. Lineage: Bacteria; Candidatus Rokuibacteriota. The record is from Rfam.
GUUGCCCUGCGCUGUGCGUGAUGUCGGGGGGAAGUUUCAACCUCGUUUCUACGCAGGACGCCGUACAGAGGGUGGUGCGCAUGCCCCUUCGACAAGGGGAAGCCUGAAGCCCUCCUUUUGGCGCCCACCUGGUCAUACCAGGUUCGAAACACCGUCGGCACACGGCAGAGGCGGGGCUGAU